UACGGAGGGUGCAAGCGUUAUCCGGAAUUACUGGGCGUAAAGUGUGCGCAGGCGGCCGAGCAAGUCGAGUGUGAAAGCCCCGAGCUUAACUUGGGAACUGCGCUCGAAACUACUUGGCUAGAGUGUGGCAGAGGGAGGUGGAAUUCCACGUGUAGCGGUGAAAUGCGUAGAGAUGUGGAGGAACACCGAUGGCGAAGGCAGCCUCCUGGGCCAACACUGACGCUCAUGCACGAAAGCGUGGGGAGCAAACAGG
RNAcentral lists this ribosomal RNA (253 nucleotides) under uncultured bacterium. Its description in RNAcentral is "partial 16S ribosomal RNA". It matches the Rfam family "Bacterial small subunit ribosomal RNA", at positions 524 to 776 of the family's 1533-position model. The record is from RNAcentral.